UGCGCCUUGCCAGCCCGCUCAGAAACUUAAAUGAAUUGACGGGGGCCCGCACAAGCGGAGGAACAUGUGGUUUAAUUCGAUGAUACGCGAGGAACCUUACCUGGGCUAGAACGCAUUCGGAAUCAGGCCGAAAGGCCUGCGCCAGCGAUGGCCGCUUGCGAGGUGCUGCAUGGUUGUCGUCAGCUCGUGCCGUGAGGUGUCGGGUUAAGUCCCAUAACGAGCGCAACCCCUACUGCUAGUUGCCAGCGGGUCAUGCCGGGGACUCUAGCGGAACUGCCUGCGUAAGCUGCGAGGAAGGUGGGGAUGACGUCAAAUCAGCACGGCCCUUACGUCCAGGGCUACACACGUGUUACAAUGGCCGGUACAGAGGGCAGCCACCCCGCGAGGGGGCGCGAAUCCCGAAAGCCGGUCCCAGUUCGGAUCGGAGUCUGCAACCCGACUCCGUGAAGCUGGAUUCGCUAGUAAUCGCGCAUCAGCCACGGCGCGGUGAAUACGUUCCCGGGCCUU
Molecule: ribosomal RNA, 507 nt
Filed under: uncultured Rikenellaceae bacterium
Lineage: Bacteria; Pseudomonadati; Bacteroidota; Bacteroidia; Bacteroidales; Rikenellaceae
Description: bacterial SSU rRNA
Rfam family: Bacterial small subunit ribosomal RNA
Source: RNAcentral